This 1380-nucleotide ribosomal RNA is filed under the name Triticum aestivum (bread wheat). Its description in RNAcentral is "partial small subunit ribosomal RNA". The record is from RNAcentral. Lineage: Eukaryota; Viridiplantae; Streptophyta; Magnoliopsida; Poales; Poaceae.
AUGCCGCAGUACCAGGAGCUGCCCUGCGGCGGGCAGGUGCUCGACAUCGACGCCGCGCUCAAGGAUGGCAUCCUGGGGUGCGGCCCGGAGCCCGGGGACGGCGCGCUGGGCGACGGAGGGAAGCAGCCGGUGGAGCUGAGGAAGAUGAUGGACGAGCUGGAUGCGGCCGGCGACGGCGGCGGGGACGAGGUCGUGCCUGCCGUCUUCAUCUGCCCGAUCUCCCUGGAGCCCAUGGUGGAUCCGGUCACGCUCUGCACCGGCCAGACGUACGAGCGCGCCAACAUCUCCCGGUGGCUGGCGCUGGGCCACCGGACCUGCCCGACCACGAUGCAGGAGCUCUGGGACGACGCGCUCACCCCCAACGCCACGCUCCGGCAGCUCAUCGCCGCCUGGUUCUCCAGGCGGUACACCCGCUUCAAGAAGCGCUCGGCCGACUACCACGGCCGCGCCGCGGACCUUGUCCACGGUCUCCGCGGCACGGCCGUCCCAAGGAGGCAGCCCCUCAAGGGCCAGGCCCGAGUCGCCGCGCUCCGGGAGUUGCGCUCCCUCGCCUCCAACCACCAGUCCGUGACCAAGGCCAUAGCCGAGGCCGGCGGCGUGUCGUUGCUGACCUCACUUCUUGGCCCCUUCACGUCUCAUUCCGUGGGGUCCGAGGCGGUGGCCAUUCUUGUGAGCGGCGUGCCGCUCGACGCCGACGCGAAGGCGGCGCUGAUGCAGCCGGCAAAGGUGUCCCUCGUGGUGGACAUGCUCAAUGAGGGCGCCGUCGACACCAAGAUCAACUGCGUCCGCCUCAUCCGCAUCCUCAUGGAGGAGAAAGGGUUCCGGCCGGAGACGGUGGCGAGCCUGAGCCUCUUGGCCGGCUCCAUGCGCCUGGUCCGGGACAAGCGGCACCAGGACGGUGUGGCCGCUGGGCUAGAGCUGCUCAAUUCCAUCUGCGCCGUGCACAGGCCGGCCAGGAGUAUGAUUGUCAGCAUUGGUGCGGUGCAGCAGCUGGUGGAGCUGCUGCCGGAGCUGGCGACGGAGUGUGUGGAGCCAGCCUUGGACAUCCUUGACGCGCUCGCCUCAGUCCCUGAAGGCAUGACGGCUCUCAAGGAUUGCCCGAGGACGAUACCCAACGCCGUCCGAUUGCUGAUGAGGGUGUCCGAGGCCUGCACGCAGCGUGCCCUGUCGAUGCUGUGGGUGGUGUGCAGGAUGGUGCCCGAGGAGUCGGCACCCGCCGCCCUGGAGGUCGGACUGGCCGCCAAGCUUCUGCUGGUGAUCCAAAGCGGGUGCGGGCCGGAGCUGAAGCAGCAAGCCUCGGAGUUGCUCAAGCUUUGCACCAUGCAUUGCACAUCCACCGUCUUCCUCGCAAAAUGCAAGCUCACCAAGACAAUUCAGUGA